RNAcentral lists this ribosomal RNA (405 nucleotides) under uncultured bacterium. RNAcentral's name for it is "bacterial SSU rRNA". It matches the Rfam family "Bacterial small subunit ribosomal RNA", at positions 356 to 773 of the family's 1533-position model. The record is from RNAcentral.
GGGGAAUAUUGCACAAUGGGCGCAAGCCUGAUGCAGCGACGCCGCGUGGGGGAUGACGGCCUUCGGGUUGUAAACCCCUUUCGACUCCGAAGAAGCGUAAGUGACGGUAGGGGUAGAAGAAGCACCGGCUAACUACGUGCCAGCAGCCGCGGUAAUACGUAGGGUGCGAGCGUUGUCCGGAAUUAUUGGGCGUAAAGAGCUUGUAGGCGGUUUGUCGCGUCUGUCGUGAAAACCAGGGGCUUAACUCCUGGCGUGCGGUGGGUACGGGCAGGCUAGAGUGUGGUAGGGGAGACUGGAAUUCCUGGUGUAGCGGUGAAAUGCGCAGAUAUCAGGAGGAACACCGAUGGCGAAGGCAGGUCUCUGGGCCAUUACUGACGCUGAGAAGCGAAAGCAUGGGGAGCGAAC